RNAcentral lists this ribosomal RNA (253 nucleotides) under uncultured bacterium. Its description in RNAcentral is "partial 16S ribosomal RNA". It matches the Rfam family "Bacterial small subunit ribosomal RNA", at positions 524 to 776 of the family's 1533-position model. The record is from RNAcentral.
GACAAAGGGGGCUAGCGUUGUUCGGAAUUACUGGGCGUAAAGCGAGUGUAGGUGGUUGUCCAAGUUGGAUGUGAAAGCCUUGAGCUCAACUCAAGAAAUGCAUUCAGGACUGGGUGACUAGAGGACCGGAGAGGAUAGUGGAAUUCCCAGUGUAGUGGUGAAAUACGUAGAGAUUGGGAAGAACACCAGUGGCGAAGGCGGCUAUCUGGACGGUUUCUGACACUAAGACUCGAAAGCGUGGGGAGCAAACAGG